Molecule: long non-coding RNA, 503 nt
Filed under: Sorghum bicolor (sorghum)
Lineage: Eukaryota; Viridiplantae; Streptophyta; Magnoliopsida; Poales; Poaceae
Description: long non-coding RNA (SBIC_LNC003589)
Source: RNAcentral
CCAAGCUGGACGGACAGCAAAGAAACACAAAACCAAUCAGUUCUUGGCGCCAUCACUCCCUGAUCCAAGAACGGUUUGUUGCUUGAUAACAACGCCAAAGAACUGAAGGAACAAUCAGGUAUGGUAUAUUCAGGUCUGUCUUUUUCAGAGGAGGAGGAGGAGGAGAGAGCGUGCCUUCCGACGUGCAGCUGUUCGUGGAGAAUGGCGGCGGAGAGCGCGGUGGUGAGCACGGUGCAGAGCGGGGUGAACAUGGCGGAGUAGAGAGGGCCCCUCACCGAGAUGCACCACGACUGCAGGUAGAACACCGCACCAGACCCAAACACGCCCUGCACUCACGACGAGUCUGUUUGUUAGCCAACAAGUUCGGUCUCAUCUUCCGAUUGCAUAGUAGUUCCUGAAACGGAGUGGCACUGACCGCGAAGGCGUAGCAGGAGAGCUCGAAGAGCGAGUGGAUCCUCCACGCGCUACGGUCCGGCAGCAGGAAGAAAGCGACCACGGCGGAU